This 491-nucleotide ribosomal RNA is filed under the name uncultured soil bacterium. Its description in RNAcentral is "bacterial SSU rRNA". It matches the Rfam family "Bacterial small subunit ribosomal RNA", at positions 104 to 633 of the family's 1533-position model. The record is from RNAcentral.
GGGUGAGUAACGCGUAUGCAACCUACCUUUAACAGAGGGAUAGCCCAUAGAAAUGUGGAGGAAUACCUCAUAGUUCUUUCGCAUGUAAAGCUCCGGUUAAAGAUGGGCAUGCGUGACAUUAGCUAGUUGGUGAGGUAACGGCUCACCAAGGCAACGAUGUCUAGGGGUUCUGAGAGGAUGAUCCCCCACAGUGGUACUGAGACACGGACCAGACUCCUACGGGAGGCAGCAGUGAGGAAUAUUGGUCAAUGGGCGCAAGCCUGAACCAGCCAUCCCGCGUGCAGGAUGAAGGCCUAUGGGUCGUAAACUGCUUUUAUACACCAAGAACGACGGUAGUGUAUGAAUAAGCAUCGGCUAACUCCGUGCCAGCAGCCGCGGUAAUACGGAGGAUGCAAGCGUUAUCCGGAUUCAUUGGGUUUAAAGGGUGCGUAAGCGGCUCUUUAAGUCAGUGGUGAAAUCUUGGCGCUUAACGGUAAAAUUGGCAUUGAUAC